This 327-nucleotide ribosomal RNA is filed under the name Corbicula sp. ZA10b. Its description in RNAcentral is "partial 28S ribosomal RNA". Lineage: Eukaryota; Metazoa; Mollusca; Bivalvia; Venerida; Cyrenidae. The record is from RNAcentral.
CCGGCCGCCGCACGGAGCUCGCACAGUUCGGAUCCGCAAGGACCGGGCCAGCGGGACGUCCGCGUGGCAGGGUGCACUUUCUCCGCGGUCGAGUGCUACGACCGGUUUCGCGGCGGUCAGAAGCCCGGCGGAAAGGUAGCGCCGCCCCUCGGGGUGUCGUGUUAUAGGCCGCCGCGGUGGACUCGCCGCGAGACCGAGGACGCUUGCCGCGCCGAGCGGUCCCGGGCCGUCUGGGGAGGUUCGACCUCGGCUGCACUGCUCCGCAGAGCACCGUAACCGCCGCCCUAGCACGGGUCCGGAGACCGCCGGCGCCUCGGGUCAGUAGCG